AGCGAACGCUGGCGGCAGGCUUAACACAUGCAAGUCGAGCGGGCACUUUCGGGUGUCAGCGGCGGACGGGUGAGUAACGCGUGGGAACGUGCCCUCUGGUUCGGAAUAACUCAGGGAAACUUGAGCUAAUACCGGAUACGCCCUUUUGGGGAAAGGCUUGCUGCCGGAGGAUCGGCCCGCGUCUGAUUAGCUAGUUGGUGAGGUAACGGCUCACCAAUGCGACGAUCAGUAGCUGGUCUGAGAGGAUGAUCAGCCACACUGGGACUGAGACACGGCCCAGACUCCUACGGGAGGCAGCAGUGGGGAAUAUUGGACAAUGGGCGCAAGCCUGAUCCAGCCAUGCCGCGUGAGUGAUGAAGGCCUUAGGGUUGUAAAGCUCUUUUAUCCGGGACGAUAAUGACGGUACCGGAGGAAUAAGCCCCGGCUAACUUCGUG
Molecule: ribosomal RNA, 435 nt
Filed under: uncultured bacterium
Lineage: Bacteria
Description: partial 16S ribosomal RNA
Rfam family: Bacterial small subunit ribosomal RNA
Source: RNAcentral